AACAUAUACCUAGGUAAGCGCUGAGUUCACGCAGAUAACCACCAUCCCAAAGUUGAUGUCGCAGCUGGACCACUACUACGACAAGUUGACUGGAGUGCUACGAAAGAAACGACUCCAUUGAAACAAGGCAGUAGCUUUGUAACUCAAUGAAGACCCCGAAGAGCUAGUGAAGGAAUACGGAGAAAAUGAUGGGUGGAGAUGAAACCUCAUGAGACGUGCAGCACUCCUGAGCAGGCUGAACUCUUCAGCACUCACUCACACAAACACUGAAUUUACUUAAUAUACUUUUUAUAAACAUCUGUGGCAGACUGUGUGAGACAAUGAUUCACAGUGCUGAGGGUGCUGGAAUAAAGUUGAAUAAUAAAUUUAAAAUAAAAUAAAAAGCUUUAUAUACAUGAAGCAGGUGGAUAAAGCAGCUUCAACAGUUAUAUAGAUUUACAUUGUAAUAUAUUUUUGACUAAGUGUCACUAAACAAGAUAUUCAA
Molecule: long non-coding RNA, 484 nt
Organism: Centropristis striata (black sea bass)
Lineage: Eukaryota; Metazoa; Chordata; Actinopteri; Perciformes; Serranidae
Exons: 3
Source: RefSeq, a predicted model, not a curated record